UACGUAGGGUGCAAGCGUUGUCCGGAAUUAUUGGGCGUAAAGAGCUCGUAGGCGGUUUGUUGCGUCGGCUGUGAAAUCCCGAGGCUCAACCUCGGGUCUGCAGUCGAUACGAGCAAACUAGAGUGUUGCAGGGGAGACUGGAAUUCCUGGUGUAGCGGUGAAAUGCGCAGAUAUCAGGAGGAACACCGGUGGCGAAGGCGGGUCUCUGGGCAACAACUAACGCUGAGGAGCGAAAGCGUGGGGAGCGAACAGG
RNAcentral lists this ribosomal RNA (253 nucleotides) under uncultured bacterium. Its description in RNAcentral is "partial 16S ribosomal RNA". It matches the Rfam family "Bacterial small subunit ribosomal RNA", at positions 524 to 776 of the family's 1533-position model. The record is from RNAcentral.